Molecule: ribosomal RNA, 529 nt
Filed under: uncultured bacterium
Lineage: Bacteria
Description: bacterial SSU rRNA
Rfam family: Bacterial small subunit ribosomal RNA
Source: RNAcentral
UCUUGGUUCAGGACGAACGCUGGCGGCGUGCCUAAUACAUGCAAGUGGAACGCAUGAUUGAUACUGUAGCUUGCCACACCAUUAAUCAUGAGUCGCGAACGGGUGAGUAACGCGUAGGUAACCUGCCUACUAGGCGGGGGAUAACUAUUGGAAACGAUAGCUAAUACCGCAUAAGAGUUUUUAACACAUGUUAGAAAUUUAAAAGGAGACAAAUGCUUCACUAGUAGAUGGACCUGCGUUGUAUUAGCUAGUGGUAAGGUAACGGCUUACCAAGGCGACGAUACAUAGCCGACCUGAGAGGGUGAUCGGCCACACUGGGACUGAGACACGGCCCAGACUCCUACGGGAGGCAGCAGUAGGGAAUCUUCGGCAAGUGGGGGAACCCUGACCGAGCAACGCCGCGUGAGUGAAAGAAGGUUUUCGGAUCGUAAAGCUCUGUUGUAAGAGAAGAACGUUGAGUAGAGUGGAAAGUUACUCAAGUGACGGUAUCUUACCAGAAAGGGACGGCUAACUACGUGCCAGCAGCAGC